This is a non-coding RNA of Podarcis lilfordi (Lilford's wall lizard), 123 nucleotides long. The record is from the annotation of a GenBank genome assembly. Lineage: Eukaryota; Metazoa; Chordata; Lepidosauria; Squamata; Lacertidae.
CUUCCAGUAGCACCUUAGAGGCCAACUAAGUUUGUUAUUGGUAUGAGCUUUGAAGAAGUAUGCAUGCACAUGAAAGUUCAUACCAAUAACAAACUCAGUUGGGCUCUAAGGUGCUACUGGAAG